UCCUCUGUGAGUGUGUGUGUGUGUGUGUGUGUGUUUGUGUGUGUUGCACCACAGCAGUUAUCUGCUAUCUAACUAGCUCACUGCUGCGGGGUUUCUUUUCUGCACUCUGCUGAGCUCCCAGACAGCAAGAGGUUGCGAAAAGGCUGGCAAGGAGGCGGCAGCAAUCAUAUACCCCCAGCAGAAGACGGUACGAGCAAGGAAGGGUCGAGGCCACGAGAUGAACGGUCCCACCUCUUGCUGGAAUGAGCCUUAAUUUGAUAGGGGUUGGGCUGAGCCAGGACCGUGAGAAGGAAGCUGCUCCUAUUGGAUCCAGAUGUGAGCGGAAGGACAGACAACAGCUCGACUGAAAGCCACCGGACAUGAUGUGGCAGACAAUAGAGGCCGUGGACAGCUGUUAAUCUAGUAACAUCUGGCUCCGUCAACCCACAUUUUUCUCUCCCAUAGUGAAUGGAUACGGACUAUUCUCAGAAAUGACAUGGUGAUCCCUUGAUCCGCUCUUGCAUCAGAUAUGUCUGGCAUGAGAUAGCUGAAGCUAGCACAGACGUGUGCGCACACACACACACACACACAUACAAGCAUCAUUUGCGGUUAUGGGGCAUGGGACAUGAGGUCUCAACAGGAGCCAUUGUAGACUGCACUACCAGGCAGCCACACUGGGGCCCAUUCGCCCCUCUGAUAUGGCUCGAGUCUGAACACCUACGUCAGCCCACAAGCUUGACGUCAAGCACAUGUGUGCUUUGACCAGAAGCCUGCACGAGUUGGUUUCACACAGAGAACAAAAAGGAGGACGGAAAGGGAAGAGAGCACAAUCUUGAUGUCUCAACUAUUUGUAGCCCCUAAAACAGAAACUGAGAUCAGCUUUGAUUAGAACACGCAAAAAAUAAAACAGCAGUAUUAGUAUUUCACAGCAAGCAUCACUGUCAGUCUAAUGGUAUAAUUAUACGUCUGCUCUCAAAUAACUCUGAGGCAUUCUUGGUGCCCACAGUAGGCCAAUGUUCAAAUAAAAUAGCACUCUCUGGUUGACCAGCAGCUGCUGGCUUAUAUAUAAAGAGAAGUGAUACAGAUGCCAAAGGAGACAGCAAUAAAAGUAAAUCAUUUCACCAGUCAAGGGUACAUCAUGUCACAUCGAAUGGGCAGGUUUCUUGGAAUAAAAAAAUAAAAAUCAGACCUUUGUAAGUCAAUAUUGCCCUUUGUUCUUUGUGCUUCUUGUGUAAUACAAUGUUGUAUUCUGUUUUCUGCGUCAGUGCAGGGUAACGGAAUACAACGGUCGUGUCUGGUGUUGUAUUACAUUAGCUAAUAAAUGACAUCCUGAUGC
Neolamprologus brichardi is the source of this 1315-nucleotide long non-coding RNA. RefSeq lists it as uncharacterized. The record is from RefSeq and is a predicted model, not a curated record. NCBI's taxonomy places the organism in Eukaryota, Metazoa, Chordata, Actinopteri, Cichliformes, Cichlidae.